AGGCGCGCGGUGGCAGAGGAGAGGAAAGGAGGGCGUGGCUUCCUGCAUUUGGCGGGAUCUGUGUCUCUCGCUGGUGCUGGCACAGGAGCUUGGGAUCUGUCUCCUCUUUCGCCUCCUGCACCUUGAGAGCCCUGGGCUACUCUGUCACAGCCCCUGUUGCCCUGCGAUCUGUAGGUCCUUGGGGACGCAUAGUUAAGGUGCCAGGACAUCCUGGAAGCUGGGAAAUGAUUUCUUCCAGACCAUGGCUGGAGAAGGAAAGAAGGUGUGUUUUGCCUGAUUCAGGGACUAUAGAGAGAACCAAGUUCUGCAGGCCUGUCAUCUAAGUCUCAGCUGGGUGUCACAAACUCUGAACUGGAUUCCAAGGCUUUCAUGAAUGCACUUAUGUUUGCUGUGGCAGCUGCAUUAUGUCGUGGGGGAUGUGGAUGCAGAACCUCCCAUUCUGUCGUCUUGCUUAUGUUACUCUCCUUUAUGUUUCACUUUCUCAAAUGAAUGUCAAGCAGGUGAUUUUCAGAUUCAAAAGUUCUAAAAUAAAUUGCUCAAAUUUACACAUUAUGUAAGCUGUUAAUAAAAUUUCUUGUAGGUGCUACAUAUUUAUUAAAAUUUUUGGUUGUAAUUUUAAGCUCACUGUAGGCAGAAAGGAAUCAUUAAGAUUUCUAUUCUUUUUUAGUCUGUAUCUAAAUGACCAUAUAUUUUAAUUCCAAAUAUUUACUUUAUACUUCAGUAAUGCUCAUUGUAUUUUGCAAAAUUUAUAUUGUUCUUUUAUUUGAAAAUAUAAGGCUUUUUUUAGCUCCUGAAAUCUAUAUUAUAGUCAUAUAGUUUUAUUAUAGUAUUUGAUAAGAAGAGCAGCAACAUAUUGAGAACAGAAUAAAAUUCUGCUGUCUUUUUAAUGAUUAUUUAUUAAAUUCUUCUCAUUAAAGCCUAUUAUUAAUGAUUGUAAUGUAUUUACUGUAUAAUUUUACUGCAAUUUAUUAAAUGCCAAUGACUUCUAAUGUCUGCUUUUCAUGACUGCACACAGUUUAAAGCUGUAGAUAUCUAAAGGGUUAUUUUUCAGCCCGGCACGGUGGCUCAUGCCUGUAAUCCCAGCACUUUGGGAGGCCAAGGUGGGUGGAUCACGAGGUCAGGAGAUCAAGACCAUCCUGGCUAACACGGUGAAACCCAGUCUCUACUAAAUAUAGAAAAAAUUAGCCGGGCAUAGUGGCGGGUGCCUGUAUUCCCAGCUACUCGAGAGGCUGAGGCAGGAGAAUGGCGUGAACCCAGUAGGCGGAGCUUGCAGUGAGCCGAGAUGGCACCACUGCACUCCAGCCUGGGCGACAGGGUGAGACUGUCUCAAAAAAAAACAAAAAGGGCUUAUUUUUCAUUGUAUAUUUAUGUUGUAUUCAGGAUUUUAUGCAUUAAAAUCUCUCUUCUUAUUUUCA
Long non-coding RNA from Homo sapiens (human), 1415 nucleotides. The record is from Ensembl. NCBI's taxonomy places the organism in Eukaryota, Metazoa, Chordata, Mammalia, Primates, Hominidae.